This is a long non-coding RNA of Homo sapiens (human), 460 nucleotides long. RefSeq lists it as uncharacterized. The transcript has 5 exons. The record is from RefSeq and is a predicted model, not a curated record. NCBI's taxonomy places the organism in Eukaryota, Metazoa, Chordata, Mammalia, Primates, Hominidae.
GGACACAUACACUAGCAAUCAAACGUUUUUUCUCAGAAAAUUGAUUUGUCCUUCCCUUUUGAAAGAUAUUAUUGUUGAAAUCCAUACAUGCUGCACAAGACAACAGGAAGUGAAGUAAUUUGACACAUAAUGUGAUGAGAAUCUCCUCUACCAUGAAGGGACAGAUGAACUCUGUGGCUGGUGACAAGAGUAUUUAUGCAAUAGGAAAAAGGAAUAUUUUGAUUUUGAAAGGCAAGUUGAAUCUAGUGACUCAUUAAAUAAGGAAGCAUGCAAAUAAUUUCACAGCAAUGAGAAUGCCACCUUUAUGAAGGGACCAUGCCGGUUUUUACUGGGAAAAGUAACGAGUAAUCUAAACACAGUGUUACUCCACAUAUACACCAGAGAACAAGAGCUCAGUUCCAUGAAUAGAGCAGACUCCACUAUCUCCAUGAAAUUUUGGGAUGCAAGGUGCUAUGUAAGU